Molecule: unclassified non-coding RNA, 335 nt
Filed under: fungal sp.
Lineage: Eukaryota; Fungi
Description: partial internal transcribed spacer region
Rfam family: Eukaryotic small subunit ribosomal RNA (bases 1-45)
Source: RNAcentral
AGUCGUAACAAGGUAACCGUAGGUGAACCUGCGGUUGGAUCAUUACAAAAUCUUGAUGCGCAGCCUUUAUUGGCUGCGUGUUAGAUCAACCACCUUUGUGAACGUUUUCCUGCAUUUUGGCAGCCCUCCAGUUUUAAAACCAUUGGAUUGGGUUAUAAGUUCGCAGCAAUGCGUCUUUUGCCUCUGGGCUGCCAGCCCUCUGGGUUUAAACGCCUUUUUUUUUAUAGUUUCGUUAUGUAUGUUUUGUACCAAUGAUGAUUCUGAAAACGAGUCGUUAUUUAUAUAAAUACAAUUAUAUGAAAAAACAACUUUUGACAACGGAUCUCUUGGCUCUU